AUGUCUGUAAUCCUAGCUACUUGGGAGGCUGAGGCAGGAGAAUCGCUUGAACCCAGAAAGUGGAGGUUGCAGUGAGUCGAGAUCACUCCAUUGCACUCCAGCCUGGGCAACAAGAGGAAAACUCCGUAACAAAGAAAGAAAGAGAGAGAGAGAGAAGGAAGGAAGGAAAGGAAGGGAGGAAGGAAGGAAGGAAGGAAGGAAGGAAGGAAGGAAGGAAGGAAGGAAGGAAGGGAGAGAGGAAGAAAGGAAAGAAAAGAAAGAAAGAAAGAGAAAGAAAAAGAAAGAAAGAAAGAAAGAAAGAAAGAAAGAGAAAGAAAGAGAAGAAAGAAAAAAGAGAAAUGACUAUGUCUAGAGAAAAAGAUCUAGUGGGCAAACUAUAAGUGAGUAAAUCAGGCUAGUAGCAAACAUAUUCAGGAACCACCAUGAUAAAAUGUGGCUGCUUAUCUUUCCUGUUUGAACAGGAGGUCACAGUUUUGCUAUAUAGAGUUGAAAGGUUGUAUAGACAGGAUGUGUUAAUUUGAGUUAGAAUUCAUCUGGGGCACCUGGACAGUUAAUCCAUCUCUGGGCUUCAGGAAUCCAAUACUACCCUAAGAACACUGUUGUAGAAUGUAUACGGCAUGCUGGACAUGGAAAUCGGCUUGCUCCAUUGGUGGUGGGGCAUAGAGAGGUUCAUGUCAGCCCAGCACAUCCCCAGGAACUAUACCAGUUUCCUUAUUGCCCAAGCCAAUAUCUACAAUGCAAAGCAUCUUUCAACUGUAAUUUAGGAGGACUAUGAGCUGGCCACCUGAGUUUUUGCUUGCAGUUCAGGAACUAUUGCUAAAAAUGCAUUUUAUGGUGAAACAAGGGAUUAGCUAAUCUUUCAGGCUAACAGAGGACCAGCUACAAAUGUUUCCUGUGUGUAUUGUGAAACUCUGAGAUAACAGAGAAGUUCCUUAUUGCCCUCUGAAUUUCCCUUCCCCCAGGACCUCCACUGGUCACACAAGCCAUUAUCUGAGACAAGCUGACCAGAGCGUGAUGCUAUAACUUUUUUUGUUCAUACUUCCAAAUUAAAUCUGGUUAGAAAAAUAAAUGGCUAGAAAGUAUUUAAAUCUUGUCUUGAAUCUUGGAGGAAUUUACUUAUUUUUCUUCAUCUGUUGGCUACCCUUCUUUAAAAAAAAAAUUAUUAUUAUUUUUUUUGAAACGGAGUUUUGCUCUUGUUGCCCAGGUUGGAAUGCAAUGGUGCGAUCUCAGCUCAACGCGACCUCUGCCUCCCGGGUUCAAGCGAUUCUCCUGCCUCAGCCUCCCGAGUAGCUGGGACCACAGGUGCCCGCCACUACACCCAGAUAAUUUUAUAUUUUUAGUCUCAAACUCCUGACCUCAGGUGAUCUGCCCACCUUGGCCUCCCAAAGUGCUGGGAUUACAGGCGUGAGCCAUUGCGCCCGGCCAGUUUUAUUUUUUAUUAACAAACUCAUUCUCUGGAUAUUCUGGAGACAAAAGCAAAACACCCAAGAAAAUGGGCACUUAGGCAAUAAGAACUCAGACCCCUGUGGUUUGCUACAAAUGUACUCACUAACAGAGCACAUGCUGCCACCCUUAAGUUUCACACAUGCUGCCAAGACCAAAGGUCCACUUUGAUGACUAAAUGGGUAAAGAUAUGGGAAUUUCCCAACCACAUUGUUCCACUUCAUAUCUUCUUCUUUCUCUUCUCAUUUUAUUUUCACUGCAGACCAGAGUGAAGACAAAUGUGUAUUACUUGGUAGCUUAUGAACAGCAAGGAAAAACUGACUGGCAACCGCCAUGGAAAGGUGUGAAACCGUAACCACGAGGACUCUCACAUUUACAUGUUACUGACUAGCGAAUGUCUAGGCCUAAAACAUCUGCCCUCUUAUAGCUGUUUUAUUAUUAUGUAAACAUGGCUACAAGAUUUCUGACAUAAAAUAGUAGAUGACUCAGUGUCUUCAAAUGAUUAAUUGCUGGUUUUUUUGCCUGACCUCUUUCUUCAUUUCUUCAAUAAUAAAUCUAUUGUCAUGCAUUGAAUUACGGAAGACUGAAGCUCCCAAAUGCUGGGCCUGAAAAUGCACUCACUCUCUCCAACAGCAUGCGGGUGUUUCUCAUUAGUUUCAUAAGUGCCAAGAAAAUUUCAAAAUGAUACCAAACAAGAAUAUUUUAAAUUUUAUCACAUUACCAGCUAAGAAAUCUGUAAGCACAUUGUUAAUUCACUUAUAUUCAUCGCACAGCAAAACAAAUAUGGCAUUUCAAAACUGAGAAAGUUAAAGCCUCCUAUAAGAAGUCUAUAGCCACCGUUUCUUGAGUCCUGUCUUCAUAUCUCAUUCCUCCCAGAGCACAUCUCUCACCAAGGUUCCUGUUAGAUUCCAUUCUGGUUUGUGUCUUUGUGGAGGCAUGUCUGUCCGUAGCCAAGACACAGAGGGCUAGACUGGUUGUAACACAAAUCAGAAAUUUCUGCCUUGCAGCUGCCUGGGGAAGUAACAGUUAAUUGAGCGUGGGAGCUGUGUGUAGACCCUCAAGACUAACAGUUAAGAGGCAAGGUUUCAGUAAAAAUGUUUAGAAGCUGCAUACCACACAGCUGGAAAUGAAGGGCAGAGCUGUUUUCUGGGGAAUUUGAAUUAUGUGUACAUCCAAUCGAGAACAAUAAAUGAAUUUGUGUCCAGCAAUAAUAAUCCCUCAGUUAUAGAUAGACAUACCAUUUAUGCAGCACUUCCCAUGAAUUCUGUCUCACUGAGCCUCACAACAGUUCUGUGCAUACAAGGCUGUUAAUUGCAAGCCAUUUUAUUUAUUUAUUUAUUUAUUUUGAGAAGGAGUUUAGCUCUGUCGCCCAGGCUGGAGUGCAGUGGUGUGAUCUCAGCUCACUGCAACCUCCGCCUCCCAGGUUCAAGCAAUUCUCCUGCCUCAGCCUCCAGCGUACCUAGGAUUACAGGCAUGUGCCACCAUGCCUGCAAUUUUUGUAUUUUUAGUAGAGAUGGGGUUUCACCAUGUUGGCCAGGCUAGUCUUGAACUUCUGACCUCAGGUGAUCCACCCGCCUCGGCCUCCCAAAGUGCCAGGAUUACAGGCAUGAGCCUCCAUGCCCGGCCAUCAUGUCAUUUUAGAGAUAAGAACUCCAAGGCUGCAGGAGAUGAAAUAGUUGGUUCCCUUUUGAACUAGAUGUGAGUGGCAAGCUGGGGAUCACAUUCAGGUUUUCUGAGGGUACUUUUUACUAAGCAGGAUGCCUCUGUCCUCAAAUCCAGGUUAAGGAAUUCACCCCCUUAACCGGCUUUCCAUUUGACAAAGUGAGAGUCCUAUUAAUCUAAUACUGAACUUCUGUUAGUCCAUUUCCAUUGUACUGAAACACAAAAGACAAAUUCCCAUCAUUAAGAAAGUUGUAACAAGGGGGAUAUUUAUGUCUCUCUCCCCGUCCUGCUUUGUAUUCUCUUUUUAUUUUUUUCAUUGCUUUUGUAAUUCAGAUUGUAUUAGAAAUUAGAGGAAGGUUGAAACUAGGUAUAUGGUGACCAAGGUGUGGAAGAUGGAAUUCAUCCUCUUUUCUCCAGGUUUUUUGAGUGGAAGUUCUGACAAUAGGGACAGUUGUGUCACUGUGUUCUAUGCAGUGUCAUUUUAUUUUCCUGAAAACAUUUGUCCUUGCUACAAGUAGAUUAGAGGUUAGAAUGCAGGAUUGGCAGGCAGGAUUUGUGGUUUCUAUUUUUAGCCCUGCCACAAUUUUAUUGCACAAGGGUGAGUCCUAAGCAGUGUGGUUUAUUGGAGAGAGAACUCGAUUGGAACUGGCUCUCCUGUGAAUGAAUGAUACUGAGCACCAUAGCUGAGCAUCAGCCGAGAGGAAGGGUCCAGACUAGUGUGAGCCCCUCCAUCACCAAAUACAAGCGUUCCUAUAACUAAUGUAUGUGAUUCACUACUCUGCAGGAGGACCUGCA
RNAcentral lists this long non-coding RNA (3900 nucleotides) under Homo sapiens (human). RNAcentral describes it as "HSALNT0064527". Lineage: Eukaryota; Metazoa; Chordata; Mammalia; Primates; Hominidae. The record is from RNAcentral.